UACGUAGGGUGCAAGCGUUGUUCGGAAUUACUGGGCGUAAAGGGAGUGUAGGCGGAACCAUAAGUUAGGAGUUUAAUCCACCGGCUCAACCGGUGUUCGGCUUUUAAUACUGUGGUCCUUGAGUAUGGGAGAGGGCGAUGGAAUUCCAGGUGUAGCGGUGGAAUGCGUAGAUAUCUGGAAGAACACCAGUAGCGAAGGCGGUCGCCUGGCCCAAUACUGACGCUGAGGCUCGAAGGCUAGGGGAGCAAACAGG
RNAcentral lists this ribosomal RNA (253 nucleotides) under uncultured bacterium. RNAcentral's name for it is "partial 16S ribosomal RNA". It matches the Rfam family "Bacterial small subunit ribosomal RNA", at positions 524 to 776 of the family's 1533-position model. The record is from RNAcentral.